Molecule: ribosomal RNA, 277 nt
Filed under: uncultured bacterium
Lineage: Bacteria
Description: partial 16S ribosomal RNA
Rfam family: Bacterial small subunit ribosomal RNA
Source: RNAcentral
GACGAACGCUGGCGGCGUGCUUAACACAUGCAAGUCGAGCGGAAAGGCCUUUCGGGGUACUCGAGCGGCGAACGGGUGAGUAACACGUGAGUAACCUGCCCUCAGCUUUGGGAUAAGCCUGGGAAACUGGGUCUAAUACCGGAUAUGACCAUUCCACGCAUGUGGUGGUGGUGGAAAGUUUUUUCGGCUGGGGAUGGGCUCGCGGCCUAUCAGCUUGUUGGUGGGGUAGUGGCCUACCAAGGCGACGACGGGUAGCCGGCCUGAGAGGGCGACCGGC